GGGAGGGAAGGGGUAGGCUUGGAGAGUGCUUGUUGAGGGGGUGCUGUAGCUGAGAGCAUGUGCAGGGCUGUUUGGCUGAUUUUUGAGGCUGGGCAGAACAUGAAUCACAAGAAAUAUUUUGAAGAAAAUAUGCCCUUUUCAACAAGACCUUUCAGUACUGAGGAUGUUCCCAUCUGUUCCUGAGUCAGACAAAUGCACAGCUCUUCCUUCAGUGAAGCUUUACAAGAGAACUCUCCAAGCCCUGACACCACCAAAAAAUAUGUGCUUUUCCUACUGGCAAUUUGUACUGAUGAUGAGAGACUUGGCAGCUUGGGAAAUCAAGAACUGAAACUCCAGCUUGCAUAUGAGGUGAUUUUCAACAUGGUUUUAAAAGUGACUGAAAGCAGCCCUUGGUUUUUUUUAGGAAAGGAAUGGAGGCAUCCCAAGCAGUGGGUGAUAGCUGGAGGGUUAAAAAAAAAAAAAAAGGAAGAAAAAGUUUAGGGUCCAAAAUCAGUCUGGAGAGAGAUCUAUGGUGGGCAGGGAGCCUGUUGAACUGCCUGCUCACAGAGGUCACACUACAGCAGAGAGAGAGCAGGCUGAGGAGAUGAAUAAUGACUGUUGGGAGCCAAACAUGAUCUCUCUGGGCUUCAGCAGGAAAGCUGAACAGUGAGGAGCACUGACAAGCUGAAUCCCAGAGCCUGAGGAGGUAGGGAAUGAUGAUGUCCAGACCAAGGAAGGAAAUGGAGCAUAAUGUGAAGCCCAUGGUAAUACCUGAGAUACAAGUAAGUUUCCUUUUUAAAAACACAGAUACAGCAAAUGAUGAAAACACUAAUCCCAAUGAUGGCUUCUGCAGUGAGUAUUUUGUAUAUAAGGAGAGAGGGGAAAAAAAAAAACAACACAAUUUUCUGUGUUUUGAGACAGAUCUCCAAGUUAGUAAAUGGGGAAUAAUCACAGCAUGCAGUGCCUUAUGAGUAGGUUAUAUUCAAAACUGUGUUUUGUGUAGGAGAACCAUGACUGAGGGCUCCAAUUAGUAGAGCCUCCUCAGAGAAAAAUGUUAAUAGAAAUAUUUUGAUCAAUAAAGUCUAUAUUCAUUUUGU
Molecule: long non-coding RNA, 1076 nt
Organism: Hirundo rustica (Barn swallow)
Lineage: Eukaryota; Metazoa; Chordata; Aves; Passeriformes; Hirundinidae
Exons: 3
Source: RefSeq, a predicted model, not a curated record